GUGCACGCUACAAUAUUUUUUUAAAUGUUGACUAGCAACCUUUUUUUUCCUUCAUGCCAAAUAUGGAUGCUAAUAUACCCACAGAUCCAUCAUUGCUGUCAUUAAUAUACCACAGUGCUACUCACAGUACCUAUCAGAGUUGAAUCCAAGUGAGCCCGCCAGCGUACUUGGCAGUUGCUUCUCAUCACUUUCAUAUUGAUUGUUAUUACUCCACCUACAACUGACGCCGCGGCGAAUCCGUUCUUUUAAUACUACCACGAUCGUCAGUCAGGUGGGGGUAGCUACCCAGGCGAGCUGUACCCGCGACUACUGACAUCUAUGGCGCAGCCACAGCAGCAGAGCCAGUUAUUAAUUCCUCACAGCUCAGAGACCUUGACCUGCCAAAUUCAAGCACAUGCGAUGCGACGCCACGCGACAAAAGAAACAAAAAACAAGGAAGAAGAAAAAAAAAGCACAUGCCGAAUUCACAGCAUCAGAAGCACAGUCUCUUCCUGCACCCGCCGCCGCCGGCCCCGUGCCCGGCCUGCGCCUGCUGCUGCUGCAUCAUCUCGGCAACGAGGUCGCCCACCAGGUCCUGCACGAUGGCACGCUCCAGCGCGGCCGCGACCCUGCCGCGCUCGUCGUCGCCCGCGCCUGCCUGCUGCUGCCGCACCCACAUUAUUGCCUCCCCGACGCUCUCCGCCAUCGCGCGGCUGAUCACCCGCCCCGCCGCCGCGGCCUCCUGCUCCCACCGCCGCCGGUGGUGCCGCCAGCUCUCCGCCCCGGCCGACCUCGGCAUGCCCACCGCCAGCGGCACCGGGUAGUAAUGGACGGCGUGCAGCGGCAGCUCACCGCCUGGUUUGAUCUUGCAGUAGUCGCCUGCACGUACGGAAGCGCACGAUUGAAGUUACGUGGCACAUACCCCAUUGCUGAUUGGUCAAGGAGAAGACAUACGGCAGAUCAUGUGACUUUGGCGCAUAUCGUGAGUCGUGACAGCGACAUGUAUGCUACGUACGUGCGUACGUACCGGAGAAAACAAGGGUUCGGGAGGGCUUCACGAUCUUCGAUCCGACGGCACCGCAAGCGCCCCCCUUGCCACCCACAUCGAGAUCCGUGCAUGGAGACGGCCGCUUCCUGCAUGGGAACCUCGGGGAGCUGAUGGCGUCCAGCACCGAGUCCGGGCUGGGGUGCUGCUGCUGCUGCGUCGGCGGCGAUGGGGACGGCGACGGCGACUGUUCGACGUGUUCGUUGUCGCGGGCGAACGUCCCCGUGGCGCCCUUGCCCGCAUGCGCCGUCGUCUUCGCUGCAGCCGGGCAGACCUCGGACGCGGAGGCCGCGCGCAUCUCCGCGGCGCGGACGGCCGCGAUGAUCCGGCGAAGCGUCUUGAGGUCCUCGUCGCACUUCUCCAGCGCGCCCAGCAGCUUCCGCCGCUUCUCCGCGGCUGUCUCCGGCGCCGCCGCCGGCGGCGGCGGAGGCGGACGACUCGGGACGACUGGCCGCAGCAGCGUCGCGGCGGGCGAGGACGGCGCGGACUCCUCCAGGCCCAUGAGGCGGGCGAUGAUGGCCGGCGGCGGCGCCCGGGGGCUGUCGCAGCUGGAGCGCCGGUGCUCCGGCGCGAUCGUCGGGCUCCGCGGCGCGUCGCAGGAGCGCCGCCGCCGAACAGCGGUCGUCAUCAGCUGCUGCACCGUCGGCUUCGUCGGAGAAGCCGCGGGCGAAGCUGAAGGCUGCUGGGCCGCCGCCUUCUUUCUGGGCGACGACGAGGACGGCGGGGGUGGCGGUGCUUGGGAGGCCCGCGCUGCUGGCGCGUUCUUGGCGGUGAGGCGCUUCCGGUGGUGGCUCCGGUGGUACGGCGAGAUGAGGCGGAGGAGGCCGGCCAUGCACCCAAUGCCACCGCUCCGCCUCUGUGCGGGGGAGCACGUGGAGGGUGCCCGCCGGUUGGCGGCGGGCUCCGGCUGCGGCUGCGGUGGCUGCAUAGCCUCUGUGUUCCCUGAGCCGUUUGUUCAGCCGAGCGGGAGCAGCGAAGCACGGCGUGUGGGGGCGUGCCGCGGCAUUAUAAUUGGAGGCGCGCGUGGAGGGCGCAAUAUAAUGACGGCAUCGCCCCUGUCGCUCCGGCCCUCCCCGCGGCGAUGGCAAGGGCAGCUCAGGGUUUCAUCUCGUGCGAGCUUUGCUAGGGGAGGCGACAAAAGCUGUGGACUGGUGGUGGUGGGGUGGGGCAGUAUCCGAGUUGAACUGCACACUCCGCUGCGCGCGCUGCGGUGGCCGCUAGCCGCGUGCCUUCC
Molecule: unclassified non-coding RNA, 2258 nt
Filed under: Zea mays
Lineage: Eukaryota; Viridiplantae; Streptophyta; Magnoliopsida; Poales; Poaceae
Description: misc RNA Zm00001eb015180
Source: RNAcentral